CGGGUGUGUAAGUGUAGCGAUACAUUGAGCUAACCGAUACUAAUGAACCGUGAGGCUUAACCUUACAACGCCGAAG
RNAcentral lists this ribosomal RNA (76 nucleotides) under Salmonella enterica. RNAcentral describes it as "partial 23S ribosomal RNA". The record is from RNAcentral. RNAcentral also lists the same sequence under 1 other name. Lineage: Bacteria; Pseudomonadati; Pseudomonadota; Gammaproteobacteria; Enterobacterales; Enterobacteriaceae.